This 70-nucleotide transfer RNA is filed under the name Duffyella gerundensis. RNAcentral's name for it is "tRNA-OTHER". It matches the Rfam family "tRNA". From Rfam's summary of the family: Transfer RNA (tRNA) molecules are approximately 80 nucleotides in length. Lineage: Bacteria; Pseudomonadati; Pseudomonadota; Gammaproteobacteria; Enterobacterales; Erwiniaceae. The record is from RNAcentral.
ACGGGCGUGGUAUAACGGAAUUACUACAGCCAUCUGGCUGCUGAUGCGGGUUCAAAUCCUGCCGCCCGUA